This 253-nucleotide ribosomal RNA is filed under the name uncultured bacterium. RNAcentral's name for it is "partial 16S ribosomal RNA". It matches the Rfam family "Bacterial small subunit ribosomal RNA", at positions 524 to 776 of the family's 1533-position model. The record is from RNAcentral.
UACGAAGGGGGCUAGCGUUGCUCGGAAUUACUGGGCGUAAAGGGAGCGUAGGCGGAUAGUUUAGUCAGAGGUGAAAGCCCAGGGCUCAACCUUGGAACAGCCUUUGAUACUGGCUAUCUUGAGUACGGGAGAGGUGAGUGGAACUCCGAGUGUAGAGGUGAAAUUCGUAGAUAUCGGGAGGAACACCGGUGGCGAAGGCGGCGACCUGGGUAGAUACUGACGCUGAGGCGCGAAAGCGUGGGGAGCAAACAGG